Molecule: long non-coding RNA, 337 nt
Organism: Bacillus rossius redtenbacheri
Lineage: Eukaryota; Metazoa; Arthropoda; Insecta; Phasmatodea; Bacillidae
Exons: 2
Source: RefSeq, a predicted model, not a curated record
AAAUGUGUGUACUAUCAAAUAAAAACUAAAUUUAUAGAAAGAACAUUCAUACACAUUUGACCAGAUGUUCGAAUAGCCUCUAAUAAAGUUACUUUUUAAAAAAUACUUAGCUAACUUUUAAAAAUAUAGCAGGUGCUGAAAACCAUUCCCAUGGAUCGAGUGAACAUCAACGUGAUUGGUGUGCAGUGGCAUGAAACCCGUGCAGACUAACUAUGACUUGGCUAAUAAAACUAGUCAAAUGUCUCUUCUAUGACCUUCGGGAAUAACGACACUCAAAAGUAACGCCCUUUUUGGGUAAUUGUACAAAAUUAUGCCCAAAAAAUAUUUAAUUUAUUUA